This 467-nucleotide long non-coding RNA is filed under the name Homo sapiens (human). RNAcentral describes it as "HSALNT0362130". The record is from RNAcentral. Lineage: Eukaryota; Metazoa; Chordata; Mammalia; Primates; Hominidae.
UAUUCUUUGAUGUCCUUGGAAGAGUGGUCAUAAUUUGCGUGAUAUAAGCCAACAACCAAGAUAGAUAAGCCUCAGGAGAGCUAAGGUCAUUUCAACUAACAAAUCACUUGCUCCAUAGUGGAGAAAGCAAACUACAGAUCCAUACACAAACAUGGUAACCAAAAUAUAACACCUGUCUCACAAGCUGUUUGCUUCAUGAAAUAAGAUGAGAAAACAGAAGACAAAGAAUGUAAACAGUUUGCCCAAGAAUCUAGCCAAGAAGUGGUGGACCUAGAUGGAACAAUGCCAGCUCUAAAGCACACACUUGGAUCUACUGACUCCUAAAGGUCCCCGGGUCCUUACCUACAAUUCCAAACUCCAAAAAGCUCUGAAAACCACAAGUUCUUCUAACUUAUUUAACAGUAGACCUGGAUUUGACCUGAAUUAUUCAGCAGCAAAAAGUCUUCUGAACUGACUUGAGGUUACUU